Molecule: ribosomal RNA, 253 nt
Filed under: uncultured Verrucomicrobiota bacterium
Lineage: Bacteria; Pseudomonadati; Verrucomicrobiota
Description: uncultured Verrucomicrobia bacterium partial 16S ribosomal RNA
Rfam family: Bacterial small subunit ribosomal RNA
Source: RNAcentral
UACAGAGGUCCCGAGCGUUGUUCGGAUUCACUGGGCGUAAAGGGUGCGUAGGCGGUCGGGUAAGUCUGAUGUGAAAUCCCGCAGCUCAACUGCGGAAGUGCAUUGGAUACUGCCCGGCUAGAGGGUGGGAGAGGAGACUGGAAUUCCCGGUGUAGCGGUGAAAUGCGUAGAUAUCGGGAGGAACGCCGGUGGCGAAGGCGAGUCUCUGGAACACACCUGACGCUGAGGCACGAAAGCUAGGGGAGCAAACAGG